GGACGUGUGUGUGGCUCAGUUGGUAGAGCAUGGCACUUGCAAUGCCAGGAUUGUGGGUUUGAUUCCCGCUGUGUUCU
Non-coding RNA from Oncorhynchus mykiss (rainbow trout), 77 nucleotides. NCBI's taxonomy places the organism in Eukaryota, Metazoa, Chordata, Actinopteri, Salmoniformes, Salmonidae. The record is from the annotation of a RefSeq genome assembly.